AGAGUUUGAUCCUGGCUCAGGACGAACGCUGGCGGCGUGCUUAACACAUGCAAGUCGAACGGAAAGGCCCUUCGGGGUACUCGAGUGGCGAACGGGUGAGUAACACGUGGGUGAUCUGCCCUGCACUUUGGGAUAAGCCUGGGAAACUGGGUCUAAUACCGAAUAUGACCAUGCACCUCCUGGUGUGUGGUGGAAAGCUUUUGCGGUGUGGGAUGGGCCCGCGGCCUAUCAGCUUGUUGGUGGGGUAAUGGCCUACCAAGGCGACGACGGGUAGCCGGCCUGAGAGGGUGACCGGCCACACUGGGACUGAGAUACGGCCCAGACUCCUACGGGAGGCAGCAGUGGGGAAUAUUGCACAAUGGGCGCAAGCCUGAUGCAGCGACGCCGCGUGAGGGAUGACGGCCUUCGGGUUGUAAACCUCUUUCAGCACAGACGAAGCGCAAGUGACGGUAUGUGCAGAAGAAGGACCGGCCAACUACGUGCCAGCAGCCGCGGUAAUACGUAGGGUCCGAGCGUUGUCCGGAAUUACUGGGCGUAAAGAGCUCGUAGGUGGUUUGUCGCGUUGUUCGUGAAAACUCACAGCUUAACUGUGGGCGUGCGGGCGAUACGGGCAGACUUGAGUACUGCAGGGGAGACUGGAAUUCCUGGUGUAGCGGUGGAAUGCGCAGAUAUCAGGAGGAACACCGGUGGCGAAGGCGGGUCUCUGGGCAGUAACUGACGCUGAGGAGCGAAAGCGUGGGGAGCGAACAGGAUUAGAUACCCUGGUAGUCC
This 771-nucleotide ribosomal RNA is filed under the name uncultured bacterium. RNAcentral's name for it is "bacterial SSU rRNA". It matches the Rfam family "Bacterial small subunit ribosomal RNA", at positions 8 to 796 of the family's 1533-position model. The record is from RNAcentral.